This 252-nucleotide ribosomal RNA is filed under the name uncultured bacterium. RNAcentral's name for it is "partial 16S ribosomal RNA". It matches the Rfam family "Bacterial small subunit ribosomal RNA", at positions 524 to 776 of the family's 1533-position model. The record is from RNAcentral.
UACGGAGGAUGCGAGCGUUAUCCGGAUUUAUUGGGUUUAAGGGGUGCGUAGGCGGGCUUUUAAGUCAGCGGUAAAAAUUCGGGGCUCAACCCCGUCCGGCCGUUGAAACUGGGGGUCUUGAGUGGGCGAGAAGAAGGCGGAAUGCGUGGUGUAGCGGUGAAAUGCAUAGAUAUCACGCAGAACCCCGAUUGCGAAGGCAGCCUUCCGGCGCCCUACUGACGCUGAGGCACGAAAGUGCGGGGAUCGAACAGG